RNAcentral lists this ribosomal RNA (428 nucleotides) under uncultured archaeon. RNAcentral describes it as "bacterial SSU rRNA". It matches the Rfam family "Archaeal small subunit ribosomal RNA", at positions 474 to 903 of the family's 1478-position model. The record is from RNAcentral.
UACCAGCUCUCCGAGUGGUAGGGAUGAUUAUUGGGCUUAAAGCGUCCGUAGCCGGCUUAGCAAGUCUCCUGUUAAAUUCAGCGACCUAAUCGUUGACCCGCGGGAGAUACUACUAGGCUAGGAGGCGGGAGAGGUCAACGGUACUUCCGGGGUAGGGGUGAAAUCCUAUAAUCCCGGGAGGACCACCAGUGGCGAAGGCUGUUGACUAGAACGCGCUCGACGGUGAGGGACAAAAGCUGGGGGAGCGAACCGGAUUAGAUACCCGGGUAGUCCCAGCUGUAAACGAUGCGAGCUAGGUGUUGGGGUGGCUACGUGCCACUUCAGUGCCGCAGGGAAGCCAUUAAGCUCGCCGCCUGGGGAGUACGGCCGCAAGGCUGAAACUUAAAGGAAUUGGCGGGGAGCACCACAAGGCGUGAAGCUUGCGGUUC